RNAcentral lists this ribosomal RNA (301 nucleotides) under uncultured bacterium. Its description in RNAcentral is "partial 16S ribosomal RNA". It matches the Rfam family "Bacterial small subunit ribosomal RNA", at positions 509 to 807 of the family's 1533-position model. The record is from RNAcentral.
CAGUAGCCACGGUAAUACAGAGGAUGCAAGCGUUAUCCGGAAUGAUUGGGCGUAAAGCGUCUGUAGGUGGCUUUUCAAGUUCGCCGUCAAAUCCCAGGGCUCAACCCUGGACAGGCGGUGGAAACUACCAAGCUGGAGUACGGUAGUGGCAGAGGGAAUUUCCAGUGGAGCGGCGAAAUGCGUUGAGAUCGAAAAGAACACCAACAGCGAAAGCACUCUGCUGGGACGACACUGACACUAAGAGACGAAAGCUAGGGGAGCAAAUGGGAUUAGAUACCCCAGUAGUCCCUGUCUCUUAUAC